RNAcentral lists this ribosomal RNA (253 nucleotides) under uncultured bacterium. RNAcentral describes it as "partial 16S ribosomal RNA". It matches the Rfam family "Bacterial small subunit ribosomal RNA", at positions 524 to 776 of the family's 1533-position model. The record is from RNAcentral.
UACGUAGGGCGCAAGCGUUGUCCGGAAUUAUUGGGCGUAAAGAGCUCGUAGGCGGCUUGUCACGUCGGAUGUGAAAGCCCGGGGCUUAACCCCGGGUCUGCAUUCGAUACGGGCAGGCUAGAGUGUGGUAGGGGAGAUCGGAAUUCCUGGUGUAGCGGUGAAAUGCGCAGAUAUCAGGAGGAACACCGGUGGCGAAGGCGGAUCUCUGGGCAUUAACUGACGCUGAGGAGCGAAAGCAUGGGGAGCGAACAGG